UGAAUUGACGGGACCCGCACAAGCGGUGGAUGAUGUGGUUUAAUUCGAUGCAACGCGAAAACCUUACCCACCUUUGACAUGGCAGGAAUCCCGAAGAGAUUUGGGAGUGCUCGAAAGAGAACCUGCACACAGGUGCUGCAUGGCUGUCGUCAGCUCGUGUCGUGAGAUGUUGGGUUAAGUCCCGCAACGAGCGCAACCCUUGCCAUUAGUUGCUACGAAAGGGCACUCUAAUGGGACUGCCGGUGACAAACCGGAGGAAGGUGGGGAUGACGUCAAGUCCUCAUGGCCCUUAUAGGUGGGGCUACACACGUCAUACAAUGGCCGGUACAGAGGGUAGCCAACCCGCGAGGGGGAGCCAAUCCCACAAAGCCGGUCGUAGUCCGGAUCGCAGUCUGCAACUCGACUACGUGAAGUCGGAAUCGCUAGUAAUCGUGGAUCAGAAUGUCACGGUGAAUACGUUCCCGGGUCUU
RNAcentral lists this ribosomal RNA (470 nucleotides) under uncultured Allobrachymonas sp. Its description in RNAcentral is "bacterial SSU rRNA". It matches the Rfam family "Bacterial small subunit ribosomal RNA", at positions 907 to 1382 of the family's 1533-position model. Lineage: Bacteria; Pseudomonadati; Pseudomonadota; Betaproteobacteria; Burkholderiales; Comamonadaceae. The record is from RNAcentral.